AUUGAAUUGGAAGAAUGUAGAAGGAACAAUACUAGAUCUACAACAAAAUACAAGAACAACAUAAAGAAAAUUGCAAUAAAAGAAUGGAAGAAGAAUCAAUGUAACUACAAGGAAUUGAGAUGUAGAAGUAGAAGAACAUGAAUCUACAUCUAGACCUAAGAACUAAACCUAAUCCUAAUUCUAGAGAGAAGGGAGAGCUUCUCUCUCUAAAACUCUAAACUAAAAGUGAUUAGUGGUUGGGAAUGAUGGUUAGUCAAAAAGUGAUGAUGAUCCUCCUUCCCCCUAAUCCUUCAUUCUUUUAUUCCUUUCCCUUAGCAAUUUGGCGCCAAAAAUGGGUUCAGAAACCCUCUCAAAUCGCCAGGCACGUGUUGCAUUAGUGAGGUCAUGUGCCCUCAUCGACGCGUGCACGCACGGUACGCGUGCGCGUCCCUGGCUAAUUCUGCGAUGUGCGCGCGAGCGCCUUGUGCGCGCGCGCGUGCAUGGCUGACUUUGCUUCUUUGACUUUUUAUGCUUCUCUCCACUUGUAUGCUUCCUUCCUUGCUUCCUUUGAUCCAUGCCUAGCCUAUUUCAAAAGUCCAAACCACAAUUGUAUUGAAUUGUCAAAAAGAGUUCAAACUUGCAAGAAUAUAGAUAAUAUGGGUGAACACAUGUGAUUGAACUUUUGAACCCUCACCGGAUGUGUAUCCGCUCUAUUCACUCAAGUGUUUAAGGGUUAAUUCACUCAAUUCUCUUCUAAUCAUGUUUUCCAAAAUUUGAUUUUCUUCUAACAAUCAACACUUAUUCAAUGCAUGCAUACAUUCAUCAUGAGGUCUUUCAUUUAGGUUGUAAUGGGGUUAGGGUCAAGGUCGGAUCAUUUAUGGUCAAGUGGACUAGGAUUUGAAUCUUUGAUUAGCAUAGACUUUCCCACCUAACCUAUUUAAUGACCUAUACAAAUGCAAGCUAUUCUAACUACCCAUUCUUCACUUUUUUUUCUUACAUACUCAUGCAUUCUUAUUUGAUUCAUAAUACUUAUGCAUUGAUCCCCUUUUUAUUGACUUCACUUUGGGGCAUUCUGUCCCUUCUUUAUUGUAUUAUUUUUUUUUUCUUUUUCAUCAUCAUCAUUUUUUUCAUUUUUCUUUUCUUUUCAUCAUUUUUUUCUUUUCUUUAUAUAUAUAUUUUUCUUUUUUUCUUCUUUCAAACUAAAUACAAGAACAUCAAUGCAUAAGGUCUCUACAUUUAAUCAAUACAUGAAUAUGUGCCCAAUUCCUAAACAUAAAAGUGUACUGCCCCUUUUUAUCCCAUCCAAUGUUCCCAAGCCUCACCAACUUUGAAUAAUAAAACACUCUCACUAGCCUAGGUCAAUCAAAGAUCCAAACAAGGACUUUUCAUUGGUUUUCUACCUUAGGCUUGUAAUGUGCUAAAAUAAGAAUAAGUUGGUUAAGCAUAGGCUCAAAAUUGGCUAACAAUGGAGAGUAAAAAGUUGGCUAUUUGGGUAAGUGGCUAAUGAAAGAAUGGCCUCAAUCAUAUAAAUGCACAAACACAAGAAAUAAACGGAUAUAUAGAAUCAAGCAAAUCAAGGAUCACAAUCAUGGAAAGAGAACAAUUUCACACAAGAAUGGAAAAUAAGUGGUUAUAAAAUGUAACCACAUCAAUAGGCUCAAGUCUCACAAGCUUGUGUUCUCAAUUCAAUACAUGCUUCACAAGGUAUGAAAUUCAAGCAAGUUUCAAAAAAAAUUCUCUUUCAAUCAAUUGGGUCAAUGCCCUAUAUUUAAACUUCUUGAAAAGUCUUAAUGUUUGACUAAGCAUUGUUGUGAUUGAAAAGUUCAAAAAUUUUCUUAGUUCACCCUUUGCUUUUUCACUUAGAACCAAUAUAUUAUGCAAAAAGGGUGACUAAAUAUUUGCAAUCCAAAGUAUGAUUUCUAAUCACAACUACAAACUAAAAACAAAGAUAAACAAAAUGUAUAAAGAAGAAUCCAACUAAAAGUACGGAAUCUAUCAUCCAAAACAUCUAAAAAUAUCCAAAAGCAUCAAAAUAUCUAAAAUCCAAAAUAAGCAAUAAAAGUAUCCAAAGCAAACUAGAAAUGCAUCAAAAUAUAUACAAAGAUGUGCAAAAUGAGAUAACUAGGCCGAAAAGUUCACCGGUUCCCAAAUAAUGCUACCUCCCCACUCCCCACACUUAAAACCAAGCAUCGUCCGCGAUGCUAAACCGGAGGAUCAGUGGGAGGUACAACGAUAGGCUCAGGCUCGGCUCUGGGACCUGGGAUCUCGGUAGUGGUAGGAGCAGCUGGAGGUGCAUCCCGCUGAAGUGGCUCAUCCGCAUCCUCCUCCUGAUGAUCCUGCUCAUCGGAGGUCGGAGAGUCUGGAAGCGGAGGUAACUCAGCGCCAAGGGAGAGGAGUGCCUGAUCCAUCCGAUCCAGUCGGCGUCUGACAUGGAGCCUCUCGCGCUCCAAGAACCGAAACAGACGCUGAACCAGUAGGUAAGUGGGCUCGGGUGCUGAAGGGGGUGGGGCUGCUGUCGAAGAAGAUGGUAUAGCUGCCUCGACUGCCGCUCUAGCUCGAGAACGGCGGCUGGUCGAGGGCCUCUCGUGCACCCACACACCCCAGGGAAUAGUAACUUCCUUGUCGUCGUCAUCUGGAGGUGGUGGUGUCACGUCAUUGUCCUCCUACGGGACAUCAGCUAGCUCAGCUAAGCUAGUAACCAGUGUCGGAAACGGUAACAAGCCGCGAAUAUGAGCUCUCCACAUGCUAUGCCUAAUCAGUCGGGGAAAAUAUACUUCCUUCCCCUCCAUGACACACCCAAUCAAGACUAGCAUAUCCAUCGGAAUCUCUGAAAAGUGAGUGGUAGGAAAGACAUAGUGGGCAAAUAUUUGUUGCCAAGUCCUAGCCUCCCUAGUCAGAUGUGCAAAUAGCAUGCCCUUGGGCUUUGUGUUGCUCGAAUCCAUUACCCAAGAAGCAUCUGGUGUAGCAAUCACGCGCCUAAGUGCCUCAUAGUCGAAAUUCAUGGAGAGGAGAGCUACCUCUGCCUGCUGGUAGGCACAAGUCUCAGGAGUACCAACUCUGUAGAGCAGUGCAUCCCUCAAGGCAUCCUCAGUGAUCAUAAUCUCUCUACCCCUCAAGAAUACUGAAUCCAAGCCCGGUCGAAAGAAAUUGCAGUAAAAUUCCUUGACCCACGAGAUGUUAAUCCGUCCCAAGUCCCUAUCGACGAAAUCCAAGCCCAGCUCAGAAAUACGGGCGUUUAUGGCACGCCUCACAUCAUUGGGAAGAUUCAGCUUCUUCUCAAUAUUCAGAUUCUUCUUUGCAUGACGGGAAAGGCGUAGCUCACAGUAGAGAUUUGGAAAUUUGGUUGGAUCAGUGGACGGGAGUAACUGAUUUUCUUUCUCCUCCUCAUUCAGCGGAUUCCUUGCAUAGUUAGCAGAUGGUGGGGGUGUAGAGGUCUUGGAGCGCUUCCUUUUUUUUGAAGCAGAGGCUAUAGCUUUUCCUCUAUCCGACAUCCUGAAAAAUAUGAUAGAAUAUAUAAAAUAUUUAGCAUGUAACACAGAAGGCAUGUUCAGGAUACAAUUAUCAAAGAGCAAUCAUGAUGUUGCACUGAAUAUGUAAAAGUGAACAAGUAAACAUAAGUGAAUGAACCAAGACUGGAAUCUUCAUUAAAGGCAACAUCUCAUAUUCAAAAGGCAAUAAUAUCAUCAUAUUUUUGAAAGAAUUGUUAAAGAGGGUUAAAGGUGAGUGGAAGUAAAACGGUUAAAGAAAUUAGUAAGUUAGAAAAGUGGAUUAGCGAUAUGAUGAUAUAUAGGCUCAAUUGAACGAGAAAUUGCGGUUCAUGUUCACAAUGAUUGUGCGAAUCCGGGAAGUCAAAAAGGAAAUGGAAAUUUGCCCAAAACUGAAAUAAAGAUCAAGAUGAAACUAAUUUCCUUGAAAAUCGGACAGCAUUCCGGCUUAAAAUUGGACGUUUCCGGACAGCAAAAUAGCACAAUUAGCACAAAAAAUAACAUCAAUCACGCACAGCAGCAACAGAUAUUAUUUGGCAACACAUAUUGCAUGGAAUAUCAACCCAAAACCAACAUACCGUACCCAAGGAAGCAAGCAGCAGAUAUGCACAUACGGAGCAAUUAGCAGGCCUAGAAUCCUCUAUCCAGCCCUAGCUACCUAACAGCAAUUAUAUCUAUCUAACCUAACAUACAAAAUUUGAAUUUAGCUAACUAACAUGCAAUUCCAGGAACUAACAUAAAUGAACAAAUAAAAAGGAAAAAACAGAAAAAGAAAUAACAGAAAUGGAGCAGGAACCUGGGAGCCGGGAGAAACUGAGAAUGGAGAGGGGGACUACGAUAGGGCAGGGGCAGCAGAGACAGAAACUGGCACCGCCGUGAACGGUGGCGGUGAAGACGGCUGGCGCGGUGGUUUGGCCGGAGGUGUGAGAAACUGAGGGGAGGAGGGACGGUGAUGGUGAGAGAAGAGAAUGAUAGGAGAAUGUGCAGGACGAACAGAGAGGGAGCGAGCCGCCGGUAGUGAUGACGGGGUGGCGGCGGAGGGGUUGGUCACGGUGAGAUGGGUGAGAGGAGUGAGAGGGAGAGAGAGGACGGGUGGUGGUGAGAGGAGAAGGGAAUUGAUGGCCAAGGACGGUGAUGGAGGUAGGUCGUGCGGCGGCGGUCGCGGUGAGUGGCGCUCGCCGGAGGUUGCUGGGAGUUGAGUGGUGGGGGAAGAGAAAUGGAACGUUAGAGGGGAAGAGGUGUGUUGCGCGAAUGCGCUAGGGUUCGCGUCUCUGGGGUAGGUGAAAAUUCGAAUCCGCGCGUGCGCGCGCCGUGCGCGUUCGCGUCCAUUGAGAGAACGUGGGCCCUACGCGUGCGCGUACAACGCGCUUAAGCGGGGGGGAGCAAAAUAGGAAAGGACGCGUGCGCGUACCGUGCGCGCACGCGUGCAUGGAGUUGGGCUAGGGGCUUAGAGUUGGCCUAACUCAGGCCUAACUCUCUGGAGACUGGCCUGGGAGUCGCGCACCAGACCUGCGCGCGCGCGGCAUGUACGCGUCCGCGCGCAUUGGGGGAAAGGGAGAUUCAUGCGUGAGCGUGCAGUGCGCGCUAACGUGGCAACACGCAAGGACGCGCGCGCAGUAAAUGCGCGUCCGCGUACGUUGACGAAUUGUGAAAUGGCGCGAUGCAUGCGCUCGCGCAGAUCGGGUUGGGCCUGGGGCCUAAAGGUAGCCCAGAAAUGGCUUAACUCUCUGGGGUUUGGCUCAAUCAUUUGCAGCAGAAAAUCGGCGCGGACGCGGCAGGUGCGCGUCCGCGCGAACUUCCAUGUUCUAAUAGUCGGCGCGCCCGCACGUAGUGCGCAUCCGCGUGGGUCAGGUUGGGCUCAAGGCACAAUGUUUGCCCAAGAGAGGCCCAACUCUCGGGAGUGUGGCUCGUGGUGCAUGCGCACCGGGACGCGUACGCGUACGUUGUGCGCGCGCGUCCAUGCCCUUUUUUUUUUUUUUCCCCUUAGUGUUCACAACUCUUAUUCACUCAACCAUCAUACAAUUCACAAAAAUGCAAUUUUUGAUAUUAUUCAUCUACUACUAAACACAACAUGCAUGUGACUAAGCUAACAAUUAAGUUGGACAAACAAAUUUGUAUGAAACAUCUACCUACAAUGGUAACUCAAAUCACUUAUGAAGUAAAUUUAAAAGAGUGGAAAGAGUUUACCAUGGUGGGGUGUCUCCCACCUAGCACUUUUAGUUUAAGUCCUUAAGUUGGACAUUUUGAGAAGCUUAUUGUCAUGGUGGCUUAUGUUUGUACUCAUCCUUGAAUCUCCAAGGAUCCUUGCUUCUCAAUUGGUUGACAGAAUUUCCAACCAUAUUCAUCAAGCUCGGGCACAGUUCCACCCAAGAUAUGAGUCCCCAUAGUUGGUCUUCACAUAGCGAACCGGGAUCCCAUAUCUUGUCUUCACACCCAUCCGUUAGUUGAGUUUCAUGGCUUUGUCGGAUGAGCGGUUGACAUAAAGGUGAUUGACACAUAGAAUUCUCUUUACUCCACCAAUGCUUCCUCCUAGAUCCGUAUAAGGUAAUCCUUGUCCCAACAUCAUCCCUAUACCUUGAGGCCUUGGCCUUGAUAAGCUUAACACCUAUUUUCCAACCACUACACAACUCGUUUUUACUUUUAAUUCCACAAAGAGUUCUAAGUUGACCCUCAUUUUCAAGCAAACCAUAUUCAAGUGAGAGAUUAAAGCUCAGGGAUAGAGAUUUUACCCACUUAAAUGUUGUGUUGGAUGGUAAUUUGGGGAGAGAGGCUUCCCCACACUUAGACCAUGCAAGGUCCACUUUCUUGUGCUCCUCUUUAGUUGUUUCCACCUCUUUACAAUUCUCUUCACUUUCAACCUCAUCCUCUUUCUUACGUGGCUUGGUGUUAUCUUCAAGAACUUCAUCUUGUUUAAUGAGAGGCGAUUCAAUUUUGGAUAGAAAUUCAUUGAUGAACGAGGUCAUCUCUUGAUCAACCUCUUCAUAUUCGUCAAUUUCAAUAUACACUAUGCCCUUCUCAUCUUCCUUGGGAGGUUGUGCACACUCUUCUAUAAUUUCAACUCCAUGUCCAACGGGUGAAGAUUCCAUUGUAGAGAUCAACUCAUCUAUGAUUGAAUCCAUUUCUUGAUAAACCUCUUCCAAGUCUCCAACGAUGAUAUGUCUUGGAGAUUGCGUGUAUUGAGGUGGUUCUUGGUAGUGAUCUUGAUAGGGUGGUGGUUCUAAGGGCUCUUGCUCAUAAUGGUCAUAAGAAUAUGAUAGGGGUGGUUGGUUAUAUGAGGGGUAGGGAUCAUAGGGAGGUGCUUAGUAUGGGAAGGCUUGUGAGAAUGGUUGAGGUUCAUGUUGAGGGUGAGAGUCAUAGGCAUAUGGUGGCGGUGCUUGGAAGUCACAAGGUGAUUCACCAUAGCCAUUGGAUUGGUAUGCAUCAUAGAAUGGCUCUUCUUCAUAGUGCCUUGGUGGAGGUUGUUGCCAUGAGGAUUGAUCAUAUGCAUAUGGCUCCUCCCACCUUUGUUCAUCCCAUUCUUGAUACACAUCUUCAUUAUAGUCCUCAUUUCCUACAACAUGUUGAUAACCAAACUCAUAGCCAAGGUGAGAAUUCAUGAUAGCAAGAAGAAAAUGAAAACAAAAUCAAAUAAGAAGCAAGAAAAUUAAAUCCUAAAACUAGCAAGAGCUAACGAAAGCAAACAUAUUCACACUAUUCACAUAUAUACAAUAACCAAUAACAUAACACCAUUGCAAUUCUCCCCGGCAACGGCGCCAUUUUGAUGAAUAGAUUUUUGACGGUUUAGAAUUUCACUAAUAAAAUCUCGUUGUAAAGUAUAGUUUCUAAACUAAAAGUGAUUAGUGGUUGGGAAUGAUGGUUAGUCAAAAAGUGAUGAUGAUCCUCCUUCCCCCUAAUCCUUCAUCCUUUUAUUCCUUUCCCUUAGCAAUUUGGCGCCAAAAAUGGGUUCAGAAACCCUCUCAAAUCGCCAGGCACGUGUUGCAUUAGUGAGGUCAUGUGCCCUCAUCGACGCGUGCGCACACGGUACGCGUGCGCGUCCCUGGCUAAUUCUGCGAUGUGCGCGCGAGCACCUUGUGCGCGCGCGCGUGCAUGGCUGACUUUGCUUCUUUGACUUUUUAUGCUUCUCUCCACUUGUAUGCUUCCUUCCUUGCUUCCUUUGAUCCAUGCCUAGCCUAUUUCAAUCCUGGAAUUACUAGCAAACACAUCAAGGCAUCUUAUGGAAUCAAAGAAGAACUAGAAUUCAUCAAAAUAAGGCUUAAAAAGCAUGUUUUUAC
This 7735-nucleotide long non-coding RNA is filed under the name Arachis ipaensis. RNAcentral describes it as "long non-coding RNA (AIPA_LNC002533)". The record is from RNAcentral. Lineage: Eukaryota; Viridiplantae; Streptophyta; Magnoliopsida; Fabales; Fabaceae.